GGGGGUAUAGCUCAGUGGUAGAGUGCAUGCUUAGCAUGCAAGAGGUCCUGGGUUCAACCCCCAGUACCACCA
This 72-nucleotide transfer RNA is filed under the name Camelus bactrianus (Bactrian camel). It matches the Rfam family "tRNA". From Rfam's summary of the family: Transfer RNA (tRNA) molecules are approximately 80 nucleotides in length. Their secondary structure includes four short double-helical elements and three loops (D, anti-codon, and T loops). Lineage: Eukaryota; Metazoa; Chordata; Mammalia; Artiodactyla; Camelidae. The record is from Rfam by way of RNAcentral. RNAcentral also lists the same sequence under 2 other names.